This 380-nucleotide ribosomal RNA is filed under the name uncultured microorganism. RNAcentral describes it as "bacterial SSU rRNA". It matches the Rfam family "Archaeal small subunit ribosomal RNA", at positions 330 to 712 of the family's 1478-position model. The record is from RNAcentral.
GUGCAGCAGGCGAGAAACCUCCGCAAUGCGCGCAAGCGCGACGGGGCCAUCCCGAGUGCCGCUCGCUGAGGGCGGCUUUUCUCCGGUGUAAGUAGCCGGAGGAAUAAGGAGAGGGCAAGUCUGGUGUCAGCCGCCGCGGUAAUACCAGCUCUCCGAGUGGUGGGGACGAUUAUUGGGCCUAAAGCGUCCGUAGCCGGCUUGACAAGUCUCCCGUUAAAUCCAGCGGCCUAACCGCUGGGCUGCGGGAGAUACUGUCAAGCUUGGGGGCGGGAGAGGCCAGCGGUAUUCCCGGGGUAGGGGUGAAAUCCGUUAAUCCCGGGAGGACCACCAGUGGCGAAGGCGGCCGGCCGGAACGCGCCCGACGGUGAGGGACGAAAGCU